Molecule: ribosomal RNA, 281 nt
Filed under: uncultured bacterium
Lineage: Bacteria
Description: partial 16S ribosomal RNA
Rfam family: Bacterial small subunit ribosomal RNA
Source: RNAcentral
CCUGAACGCUGGCGGCGUGGCUAAGACAUGCAAGUCGCACGGGCCUCGCAAGAGGUCAGUGGCGAACGGGUGAGUAAAGAAUCGCUAACGUACCCCGGACUCUGGGAUAGCUACCCGAAAGGGUGGUAAUACCAGAUGAUAUAACUUUCCUGCAUGGGAGAGUUCUCAAAGGCCGCCGGCAACGGUGGAACGGUCUGGGAGCGGGCAAUUUCGUAUCAGCUAGUUGGUGAGGAACGGCUCACCAAGGCGACGACGCGUAGCCGGACUGAGAGGUUGGCCGG